AAAUGGCCGCAGUACCUUGACUGUGCUAAGGUAGCAUAAUCAAUUGUCUUUUAAUUAGAGUCUGGAAUGAAUGGAUAAAUGAAGUUUUACUGUCUUAAUAAUAUUAAUUUGAAUUUAUUUAUAAGGUGAAAAUACCUUAUACUAGAAAAAAGACGAGAAGACCCUUAGAAUUUUUAAAAAUGUUAAUUUGUUUAAAUUAUUUUUUUGUUGGGGCGACAAAUAAGCAUUUAAACCUUAUAUUACUUAUGGUACGAAUUUUUUAGAAAAAAUUAAAUUACCUUAGGGAUAACAGCAUAAUUAUUUAUUUAGUUUGUGACCUCGAUGUUGGACUAGGAACUUUAUGACUAACCGUCAAAAAAGAUUUGUUCUGUUCGAACAAUUU
RNAcentral lists this ribosomal RNA (382 nucleotides) under Planorbarius corneus. RNAcentral describes it as "partial 16S ribosomal RNA". Lineage: Eukaryota; Metazoa; Mollusca; Gastropoda; Planorbidae. The record is from RNAcentral.